This 492-nucleotide ribosomal RNA is filed under the name uncultured bacterium. RNAcentral describes it as "partial 16S ribosomal RNA". It matches the Rfam family "Bacterial small subunit ribosomal RNA", at positions 29 to 507 of the family's 1533-position model. The record is from RNAcentral.
AGUGAACGCUGGCGGUAGGCCUAACACAUGCAAGUCGAACGGCAGCACAGUAAGAGCUUGCUCUUACGGGUGGCGAGUGGCGGACGGGUGAGGAAUACGUCGGAAUCUACUUUUUCGUGGGGGAUGACGUAGGGAAACUUACGCUAAUACCGCAUACGACCUACGGGUGAAAGCAGGGGAUCUUCGGACCUUGCGCGAUUGAAUGAGCCGAUGUCGGAUUAGCUAGUUGGCGGGGUAAAGGCCCACCAAGGCGACGAUCCGUAGCUGGUCUGAGAGGAUGAUCAGCCACACUGGAACUGAGACACGGUCCAGACUCCUACGGGAGGCAGCAGUGGGGAAUAUUGGACGAUGGGCGCAAGCCUGAUCCAGCCAUACCGCGUGGGUGAAGAAGGCCUUCGGGUUGUAAAGCCCUUUUGUUGGGAAAGAAAAGCAGCAGGUUAAUACCCCGCUGUUCUGACGGUACCCAAAGAAUAAGCACCGGCUAACUUCGUG